Hordeum vulgare subsp. vulgare (domesticated barley) is the source of this 444-nucleotide long non-coding RNA. RefSeq lists it as uncharacterized. The transcript is spliced from 2 exons. Lineage: Eukaryota; Viridiplantae; Streptophyta; Magnoliopsida; Poales; Poaceae. The record is from RefSeq and is a predicted model, not a curated record.
UACAUUUCUAUGAGCUACAACACAAAAAACCUAAAAGGUCCUUUUCAAGUUAUGUCCAUGGGAAGACUUGCAGAAGUGUUUAUCGCCCUUACUGUCCUCUUUCUUUAUACCGGCCUCCUAACUGAAGGAGCAAUGGGCACCAACGUCAUCGAACACGUCCCCAUAGAAUCACUGGAGCUCAUGGGUUUGUCACAGGAAGUUGACCAAAAGAUAUGUAGACCAUGUCAUUGUUGCCAUGACGGUACCUGCAACCAAACAAAGUGUUGCUAUAUGACGAAGUGUAACCAGCCCGGGAAUCCACCCUUCACUUGUACACUGACUAAGCUCUCAUGCGGCAGUUGUGAUCCAGACUGCGCGUGAUUAUUUGCAUGUACCCGAUGGAUUGAUGGUGGAUUAAUAAAAUAUAGUCAUAUUUCCUUAAUAAAAUCUUUUGGUAUUUCUUUU